CCCCCUGCCUGAGGUCACAUAGUGGCCAGCAGGCCAGAUGUGGCUUACCCGUGGAUUCUAGAGAAGAAAGUAGAUGGGAGCAAGUGUCCAAUACAGCAACAGCUGGAAAGAAAAAUAAAGAAUCUUGUUCUUUACCUAAAACACUUCAGUUAACUAAGUGUGAGUUUAAAAACUAAAGAUUGAGAACUUUAUCAGAGUUAAUAAGAAUGAGAAAUAUGUAUGUACAUUUACAAUACAAAAUUACUAUUUAAUAAUUUACACAUGGCAUUAAUU
Molecule: long non-coding RNA, 273 nt
Filed under: Homo sapiens (human)
Lineage: Eukaryota; Metazoa; Chordata; Mammalia; Primates; Hominidae
Description: non-protein coding lnc-TPTE-1:9
Source: RNAcentral